UCAAAACGAGAGGCAAAGAGGUUGAUUGCAGCUUUAUUGAGGGAGAAACUUGGGUUGCUUUUGUUGAGCAAAAAUCCAAAGUCAGGGAGAUUUCUUUCCUUAAAAGUUGAUGAUAAAAUCAAGCCUUCUUGUCCCCUCAAAGACAUGGGUGAAGUCAGAAAAGUUAUGAUGGUAAGAUUUGCUUGUUGGGUUGUAUUAAUGUGUAAGGUUGGUUGUGCAUUUGGAUUGACCUUCUGCUUAUCAUUCUGAAUUGCAUCCCAUGACUGGUGUAGGGGUUCAGAGGUCAACAGCACAUUUGCCAAUUCUAGGCCGCUGCUAAAUCUGUCAUCAAAAAAUCAAACCAAAAAACAGGGAGUAAGAUAUGGGGUUAAUUUAGCAACUAACUUUGUUAAAUUUUUACUAUAAAAAGGAAAAAGAACAUUGAACUUUACUUACAUAUUGCUCAUCUUCUUCUUGUAGCUUUUUCAGAUCUGUUAACAAACACAGUAGAGGAGAAUGAAAACCAGGAUGGUUGAUGUCUUUAUUAUAUACAGGGAAAUGAAUUGCUAUGCCUCCUCCAAUCAAAUGGCCCCACGGCGACGAAACUUUCCACCAAGUCUACAAAAUAAAGCAUAAGUCUACGUCUUCGUCAACGUCGAGUUUAUUCUUGAAAGCUUCUCCGAAGAGCUUAAGCAAAUGGCCAUACUUUUUCUUCAGAAUUCACCAACUAUCAUUAUAAUAUGGGCUUAACUUUUCAUUUGCCCUUAAACUUGUAGUUAACUUUAGAUUUACUUCAUAUUCUUUUUUUAUUCAUAAGAAAUUAAAAAUAUGAACUUUUUUUUCCUCCAAUUUUUCCAUGCCGUCUAAAUCAUUAACAUUUCAUCAAUUUUUUUGUUAAAUUAUUAAAAAUAAUUUAUUUUAUUUAGAAAAAAAUUAAAGAAAAAGAGAACAAAACAAAAACAAAAAAAGAAACCCAUAACCAGGAAACACCAAGUGUAUAGCUUCCUCUGAAUAAAGUAUUCACCUGCAGAAAUUGCUAAAAUUACACUGUUCAGAAUUUUAGAGUACCAAUUUAACAUGGCUUGCAGCAUGAAAACUUAUAGUUUAGAUUCAAUACCAGGAAUUCACGAAUGAAUACUGAGAAAACACCAGUGGCUAGAAUUUUAGCAAAGUAAUUGAUUCUUCUUCCAUAUAACUCUUUCCACAAUGCUUUGAUGAACCGAUAUUCACUAAAGAUUUGUGUCCACAGAAAUACUGUCAUUGAUGUGUAUGCAUGGUAAAGAGGAGGUGAAUGCUCCUUAAACAGUAUAAUACAAAGUAGUCCCAGAAAAAGGCAUCCACAAAGUUGUACCUACAGUAAAUAAUGAGAUUCAUGAGUUAUGUUGAAUAGAUAGAGAAUAUAAAAACCCUUUAUAGACAUCCAAAUCUCAUAUAUUCCCAAACUUCUACUUUAGCUCCUUUUUUUCUUUAAAAAAAAUCUGUAUUUGUAAACUCCUUCCUUCAAUUUGAAAACCACUAUUAAAGCUUACAAGAGGUCAAGCUUACACAAACAUUACUUUUCUGGUAUUAUCUGUCUGGUGAUCUGCUUGCUCCUUUCUAAACAUAUGCCCUGCCAAUGAAGUAUAAGAUUGCAGCCCUGCAUAUGGAGAACAAUAUAGGUCAUCCAACCAAUAUACCCAAGAAUAAUUACAGUCAUGAGCAUCAGCCAAUCGUAUGUUUGAAAAUAGUAAAGAGUAUAGCCAAGCGGCUAUACUAUUUAAAUAUUCAAAAAUAUUUAAAAAUUUAAAAAUAUUUAAUAAAUAUAACCACGCUGCGAUACUCUUUAAAUAUAUUUUAAUAUAUUUACAUUUCCUUCUAUGGAGGCUGAGCCCCGGGCAGAGCGGUAGAAAUUUAUAUGACUCGUAUGAUCUCCGAGCUGUGGCUCACUAACUUAACAAAGCCGUUCAUCCUUCAAUUCACGCUUCUACACACAAGGCUUGAGUCGCAAUUUCAAACAAAGUGUCAAGACACCCAAAAGAAUUUUGUGCCCGCAGCAGUCUUGUAUGGCCACUACCGGCGACAAAAAGCCGAGCACAAGGCCUCCCGGGGCAGCUUGUGACGGCAUGGAGGAAAGUGAAGUAAGGAUUUCUCAAGACAAGCCAAGGAAUGACUGAUUUCAAGUCCUCUCCCCUCCCCAACUUGCCUGCAGUUUGAUCAACUUUGUAUGGCAUAAUUAAGCAUAGUAUCUAUUCUAGCCUGCCAUCAAAACCGAGCCGAGCAUGUAAUUUGAUACCCAACUGCAAGCCUUGUAAUAUAUGAUUUACUCAAUCCAAACAUCCUUAUAAAUCAAAGCUGUAAAAUGCUAAGACAAUGCAUAGCAGUUGGUCUUAGUCCGUUAUGGACAAAACUGUGUGAAGUUCCCUUUCUAUUGAUGUUGAACAAGGUUCAUUUACAACCAUGCUCCAACUAGAAGCAUCCUAUUCCUAUUAAAACCACAUAAAAGAAAGAUUCAUGUGGUGAUAUGGUGGUAUGGUAUACAACAUGUCAACAUUUCUGAAAGAAAGAAAAGGAAGACACAAUCAAAACUUUGAUGACUAAUCUAAGCAGUAAGCAGCAAGCAGCAAGCAGCAAGAGGAAACUUCUAAGUCAGCCUCAGCGCCAUUUCUUGAAAUGGCCCAUUGGCCCUUCUCUUUUUUUCUGUUUGUUAAAUCUUAAAUAGCAGUGAUCUAGUUGUAUUUAUGAAUCGAUGCAUCCAGGGGUGUAUCAUUAGCGCUGGAGUUGACAUGGUCAAUACUCACCCCAUUCCACCUAAUAAUCUUCAAAUAGACAUGAGUUGAGAGUUUGGUGAGUUGACUAAGAGAGUGUGUCUACUCUCGUACACUCGAGAUAGAUCCUCCUCCCAUACAUUUGAAUCAUUUUAAUUAUCACUUUGUCAAGAGAAAAUUAUAAUAAUCUUCAAAUACACCAUAAUCUUCAAAAAGCUUUUCGGAGAUGUGCAUCAUGCAUAUGCAUGAUGGUCCCAUCUAAGCUGGGUUUGUUCCCAUAUAUAAAUACAUAUAUGUAUUUGCUAAAUUUUGGUAUCCAUGACAACAUCCAAGUUAAUUAACAACAGCUCAUCCAUACACCAGAGACAUGUACACAACACAACUUACAGCUACAACUUCUUUACUAGUUACAAGCUUUUCUUUUGUAAAUUCAUCUGCAAGAUUAAUAAAACUUAAAACAAGCUACAAAGUUCUGCUAAUUCCAAGAUUGGCAGCAAAACCCAAUUUGCAAUACCCUUACAAAGCAACAAAGCCACCAACACAGGUUUAUUCAACCACCAAAGCCUACUAGGAAAGGAAAAAGAAAAUACAAAAGGAAGCACACCAAGAAGGCACAAAUUUCAACAUGCUCCAUCCGGUUGGCAUAUAAAACUUAUUCAUUGGAUUAUAGAGGUUCGAAAACCACCUUCACCCCUUUCUCAUAAUGGCGGUACGUGCCAUCCGUCAUGAUACGACCCAGCUGUGUUGAGCUUCGCACAAUUUUAUUAUACUGCUUCCACCAUGCCAUAAAGCUGCUAUACUUCAAGAAAAUAUCAGGGGUUACUGCAAAAUUCUUGAGGGCAUCCAACACAUACUUCUCAAACUCUAUCAACUUUUGCUUGCAUUGUUCCCUUUCUUGAAAACUCGGUUGUCCCUUCUCCAGCUGAUUGCAUAAGAUAAGAGCCUCCUCAACAUGUGCCCAAAAACAAGAAUCAUCAGUCAGACUAGAAGCCACGUUCUGUGCUUUUGACUUGCUUGGACCGUCUUCAACUGUUUCCCCUCUUCUAAUUCUCUCUGCUACCUUCCUUUCCUCCUCUUCCUCGAACCAUUUCUCCAACAGAAUGAAAUGCUUAGGCCUUUCCUCAAUGUAGUUUUUCCCAUCCUUGUCCUUGUAGUACUCUGCAAUGUGAAGUGGUUCCAUCAUCCUUCUGUAGUUUGUACCUCCCAUAAGCCAACGGGUUCGUAAGGCAGCUCCUUCUUUCUGGGGCCUAUUCUCUACUUCUUCAACCAAGUCCUGCCAGUAAUUCGACAGCUUCUUCUUAAACUCUUGGACGUUGAAGUCAGCCCUGUUAUGCUUGUUUUUGUACACGUCAUAGUAUCCAAUUUCCCUAUCUUUUGACUCCUUCUUGUACCACUCAAGGUAGGCCAUGUUCACUUUCAUAUCAUUAAUUUUCUUGGCGGCAUUGGAAGCCCUCGUCUUCUGUAUUGCUAAUUUAUAUUCAUGUGUUUCCAUCUUCUUUAUCAGACUAUUGAGUUGUUUCUGUUGCAAUGCCUUUUUUACAAAGGAGCAGAGAAGGAAUUAGUAGAAGUAAAAUUUAACAACGGGGAAUAUUUCUAACAUUCUUUUGCAAAUAAUGUAUGUGUUGUAGGCUUAUAGGAUGAAAACAUAAAACAUUAUCAAAUCACAUAUUUGCAUUGAAACUUUGCUACCUGUGAUGGGGGAACUCCAAAUAUUGCUGCCAGUUGUGUGAUAAUGCUAGCUUUAAGUGGAACUCUAUCGCUUUCAGCCAACUCAAAGACAUCUUUACAAAAUGCCUUGAGCUUGAGACGUUCCAAGAGCUGUCCAUAAUCAAAAAACUGAAUCCCCACAUUAGGAUAUUGGGUCUGAUCACCCUGAGAGUUGGCUGCCACCAACUCCAAAAUCAAAUCUGGGUCCUCAAAGCAAGCACAACCAGAAUCAGAGCACAACAGGAAUGUUCCAAAAGGCUUAUAAGCACCAACUUUAGUACCGGUUCCAAGAGCAGUUGGAUUUGGGGAUAGGAAGAGUUUAGGUACAGGAUCUUGGAUAGAGGCUACAUGCAAGAAGCAAGAAGUCCAUGCUGAGAAUUGUGAAACACAUUUUCGGAAGUGUUCGUCACCAAUAAGGGGUGAACUGAAAGUAAUGCAAAGGGGGCGUUUGGCUUUUGAUAAGUUGAGGCUUUCUAGCAGCCAUAAGGUGAAGAGCGUAGCCACACAGCCUCCCAUAGAGUAUCCAGUGAUAAUUACUAAUGAAUUUGAUCUGCUAAUCUGUGCCACAAACAUUAUCAAAAGUUACAUAUAUACAAACUAGUCACGUACUCAAUUGCAAUAUAGUUUGUCAAAUUAAUUAUGACAACGAAAAACUCCAUUACUUUAAAUGGUCAAACAAACAAAAUAGGAAACUCUAUCAGAUUACUAUAGACUUUCUCUAAGGUUUCUCCAAAUUCACAAGUUGUCAAAAGUAGAAAUGAUGAGUUUAAGGAAAGACAAAAAACAGAAGGAAAGAGAGAGAAGGAACGAACCUCAGUUUUCAGAAGACAGAGCUCAUCAAAACGAGAGGCAAAGAGCUUGAUUGCAGCUUCAUUGAGGGAGAAACUUGGGUUGCUUUUGUUGAGCAAAAAUCCAAAGUCAGGGAGAUUUCUUUCCUUAAAAGUUGAUGAUAAAAUCAAGCCUUCUUGUCCCCUCAAAGACAUGGGUGAAGUCAGAAAAGUUAUGAUGGUAAGAUUUGCUUGUUGGGUUGUAUUAAUGUGUAAGGUUGGUUGUGCAUUUGGAUUGACCUUCUGCUUAUCAUUCUGAAUUGCAUCCCAUGACUGGUGUAGGGGUUCAGAGGUCAACAGCACAUUUGCCAAUUCUAGGCCGCUGCUAAAUCUGUCAUCAAAAAAUCAAACCAAAAAACAGGGAGUAAGAUAUGGUGUUAAUUUAGCAACUAACUUCGUUAAAUUUUUACUAUAAAAAGAAAAAAAAAUUAUUGAGAAAGAAAGAAAAAGAACAUUGAACUUUACUUACU
This 5727-nucleotide long non-coding RNA is filed under the name Prunus persica (peach). RNAcentral's name for it is "long non-coding RNA (PPER_LNC003920)". The record is from RNAcentral. Lineage: Eukaryota; Viridiplantae; Streptophyta; Magnoliopsida; Rosales; Rosaceae.